GACGAACGCUGGCGGUGUGCUUAACACAUGCAAGUCGAACGGUAAGGCCCUUUCGGGGGUACACGAGUGGCGAACGGGUGAGUAACACGUGAGUAACCUGCCCUCAUCUCUGGGAUAACAGUCGGAAACGGUUGCUAAUACUGGAUAUGAGCUUGCAAGGCAUCUUGUGGGUUGGAAAGAUAUUUUUUGGUUGGGGAUGGACUCGCGGCCUAUCAGCUUGUUGGUGAGGUAGUGGCUCACCAAGGCUUCGACGGGUAGCCGGCCUGAGAGGGCGACCGGCCACAUUGGGACUGAGAUACGGCCCAGACUCCUACGGGAGGCAGCAGUGGGGAAUAUUGCACAAUGGACGGAAGUCUGAUGCAGCAACGCCGCGUGCGGGAUGACGGCCUUCGGGUUGUAAACCGCUUCAAUUGUGACGAAA
RNAcentral lists this ribosomal RNA (421 nucleotides) under Arachnia propionica. RNAcentral's name for it is "bacterial SSU rRNA". It matches the Rfam family "Bacterial small subunit ribosomal RNA", at positions 28 to 450 of the family's 1533-position model. Lineage: Bacteria; Bacillati; Actinomycetota; Actinomycetes; Propionibacteriales; Propionibacteriaceae. The record is from RNAcentral.